AUGGUGUCACAGCCACAACUCUUCAUCCUCCUGGUGCUCUGGGUCUCAGAUGUCUAUGGGGAUAUUGUGAUGACCCAGACUCCAGGCUCUCUGGCUGUGUCUGUAGGAGAUACGGUCACCAUCAACUGCAAGUCCAGCCAGAGUCUUUUAUCCAGCUCCAACCAGAAAAACUACUUAGCCUGGUACCAGCAGAAACCAGGGCAGGCUCCUAAGUGGCUCAUCUACUAUGCAUCCAGCAGGGCCACAGGGGUCCCUGACCGAUUCAGUGGCAGUGGGUCGGGGACAGAUUUCACUUUCACCAUCAGCAGCCUCCAGGCUGAAGAUGUGGCAGUUUAUUACUGUCAGCAGCUUUAUAGCUCUCCUCCCACAGUGCUUCAGCCUCAAACACAAACUUCCUCCCCAGAACCACACAUCAGUGAGUCUUUGCUGCACCAGCUGCUUCUUUCCUGCACCUAUUUGAGAGGCCCUUAG
Molecule: non-coding RNA, 471 nt
Organism: Ceratotherium simum simum (southern white rhinoceros)
Lineage: Eukaryota; Metazoa; Chordata; Mammalia; Perissodactyla; Rhinocerotidae
Source: the annotation of a RefSeq genome assembly